UGGGGAAUAUUGGACAAUGGGCGCAAGCCUGAUCCAGCAAUGCCGCGUGUGUGAAGAAGGCCUGCGGGUUGUAAAGCACUUUCGUUGGGGAGGAAGGCCUUAUGGUUAAUAACCAUGAGGAUUGACGUUACCCAAACAAGAAGCACCGGCUAACUCUGUGCCAGCAGCCGCGGUAAUACAGAGGGUGCGAGCGUUAAUCGGAAUUACUGGGCGUAAAGGGCGCGUAGGUGGUUAAUUAAGUCGUAUGUGAAAUCCCUGGGCUCAACCUAGGAAUUGCGUAUGAUACUGAUUAGCUAGAGUGUGGGAGAGGGAAGUGGAAUUUCCGGUGUAGCGGUGAAAUGCGUAGAUAUCGGAAGGAACACCAGUGGCGAAGGCGACUUCCUGGCCCAAUACUGACACUGAGGCGCGAAAGCGUGGGGAGCGAACAGG
RNAcentral lists this ribosomal RNA (429 nucleotides) under uncultured bacterium. Its description in RNAcentral is "bacterial SSU rRNA". It matches the Rfam family "Bacterial small subunit ribosomal RNA", at positions 355 to 776 of the family's 1533-position model. The record is from RNAcentral.